Molecule: ribosomal RNA, 311 nt
Filed under: uncultured Thaumatomonas
Lineage: Eukaryota; Cercozoa; Imbricatea; Thaumatomonadida; Thaumatomastigidae
Description: partial 18S ribosomal RNA
Rfam family: Eukaryotic small subunit ribosomal RNA (bases 242-311)
Source: RNAcentral
GAUUUCUGGUUUAAUGCACCUCUAUCAAUCAUUACUUCAGUUAUAGAAACCAACAAAAUAGAACCCGAAGUCCUAGAUUAUUAUUCCAUGCUAAUGUAUUCAUAGCAAAAGCCCUUUAAACACUCUAAUUUUUUCAAAGUAAAAGAUCUAGAUCGCAUUCCCAACCAAGUUAAUGGCAGAAACGUUUUCUAGAAGGAUGGUAAACGCGCGCCGGCACUCACAAGCCUAGUGGCCGCGGGCCGGGUGCUAGUAUUGGCCGGCCAGAGGUGAAAUUCUUGGAUUCGGUCAAGACUAACUUAUGCGAAAGCAUU